RNAcentral lists this ribosomal RNA (539 nucleotides) under uncultured bacterium. Its description in RNAcentral is "bacterial SSU rRNA". It matches the Rfam family "Bacterial small subunit ribosomal RNA", at positions 355 to 908 of the family's 1533-position model. The record is from RNAcentral.
UGGGGAAUCUUGGACAAUGGGGGCAACCCUGAUCCAGCCAUGCCGCGUGAGUGAUGAAGGCCUUAGGGUCGUAAAGCUCUUUCGCCUGUGAAGAUAAUGACGGUAGCAGGUAAAGAAACCCCGGCUAACUCCGUGCCAGCAGCCGCGGUAAUACGGAGGGGGUUAGCGUUGUUCGGAAUUACUGGGCGUAAAGCGCACGUAGGCGGACCAGAAAGUUGGGGGUGAAAUCCCGGGGGCUCAACCCCGGAACUGCCUCCAAAACUAUUGGUCUAGAGUUCGAGAGAGGUGAGUGGAAUUCCAAGUGUAGAGGUGAAAUUCGUAGAUAUUUGGAGGAACACCAGUGGCGAAGGCGGCUCACUGGCUCGAUACUGACGCUGAGGUGCGAAAGUGUGGGGAGCAAAACAGGAUUAGAUACCCUGGUAGUCCACACCGUAAAACGAUGUCUGCUAGUCGUUGGGGAGCAUAGCUCUUCGGUGACGCAGCUAACGCAUUAAGCAGACCGCCUGGGGAGUACGGCCGCAAGGUUAAAACUCAAAAUG